UUCGAUUUAGCUAAGUGGUUAAAGCCUUUCACUGUCAUUGAAAUUUCAUGAGUUCGAUUCUCAUAACCGAAA
Capsaspora owczarzaki ATCC 30864 is the source of this 72-nucleotide transfer RNA. It matches the Rfam family "tRNA". Rfam says of the family: Transfer RNA (tRNA) molecules are approximately 80 nucleotides in length. Their secondary structure includes four short double-helical elements and three loops (D, anti-codon, and T loops). Further hydrogen bonds mediate the characteristic L-shaped molecular structure. tRNAs have two regions of fundamental functional importance: the anti-codon, which is responsible for specific mRNA codon recognition, and the 3' end, to which the tRNAs corresponding amino acid is attached (by aminoacyl-tRNA synthetases). tRNAs cope with the degeneracy of the genetic code in two manners: having more than one tRNA (with a specific anti-codon) for a particular amino acid; and 'wobble' base-pairing, i.e. permitting non-standard base-pairing at the 3rd anti-codon position. NCBI's taxonomy places the organism in Eukaryota, Filasterea, Ministeriida, Capsasporidae. The record is from Rfam.